Molecule: ribosomal RNA, 250 nt
Filed under: uncultured bacterium
Lineage: Bacteria
Description: partial 16S ribosomal RNA
Rfam family: Bacterial small subunit ribosomal RNA
Source: RNAcentral
UGAAUGCUAGGUGUUGGAGGGUUUCCGCCCUUCAGUGCCGCAGCUAACGCAAUAAGCAUUCCGCCUGGGGAGUACGACCGCAAGGUUGAAACUCAAAGGAAUUGACGGGGGCCCGCACAAGCGGUGGAGCAUGUGGUUUAAUUCGAAGCAACGCGAAGAACCUUACCAGGUCUUGACAUCCUUUGACCACCUAAGAGAUUAGGCUUUCCCUUCGGGGACAAAGUGACAGGUGGUGCAUGGCUGUCGUCAG